CCUACGGGAGGCAGCAGUGAGGAAUAUUGGACAAUGGUCGGAAGACUGAUCCAGCCAUGCCGCGUGCAGGAUGACGGCCCUAUGGGUUGUAAACUGCUUUUGUACGGGAAGAAACCCAGGUACGCGUACCUGGUUGACGGUACCGUAAGAAUAAGGACCGGCUAACUCCGUGCCAGCAGCCGCGGUAAUACGGAGGGUCCGAGCGUUAUCCGGAAUCAUUGGGUUUAAAGGGUCCGUAGGCGGGCCUGUAAGUCAGAGGUGAAAGGCCACGGCUCAACCGUGGGACUGCCUUUGAUACUGCAGGUCUUGAGUCAUGGUGGGGUUGCCGGAACAUGUGGUGUAGCGGUGAAAUGCAUAGAUAUCACAUAGAACACCGAUCGCGAAGGCAGGUGGCCAACCAUGAACUGACGCUGAUGGACGAAAGCGUGGGGAGCGAACGGGAUUAGAUACCCCGGUAGUCCACGCCGUAAACGAUGGACACUAGCUGUGGGGACUUCGGUCUCCGUGGCCAAGCGAAAGUGAUAAGUGUCCCACCUGGGGAGUACGUUCGCAAGAAUGAAACUCAAAGGAAUUGACGGGG
This 580-nucleotide ribosomal RNA is filed under the name uncultured bacterium. RNAcentral's name for it is "bacterial SSU rRNA". It matches the Rfam family "Bacterial small subunit ribosomal RNA", at positions 338 to 918 of the family's 1533-position model. The record is from RNAcentral.